This 716-nucleotide ribosomal RNA is filed under the name uncultured fungus. RNAcentral's name for it is "LSU rRNA". It matches the Rfam family "Eukaryotic large subunit ribosomal RNA", at positions 64 to 632 of the family's 3401-position model. The record is from RNAcentral. Lineage: Eukaryota; Fungi.
AAAAACAUGAUUCCUUANUACUGCGAGUGAAGAGGGACAGCUCAAAUUUUAAAUCCAUCGGGUUUUACCUGAUCGAGUUGUAAUUUGAAGAGGCGUUUUCUGUGUUUCUGAUCAGUCCAAGUCCUUUGGGAUAAGGCAUCAUGGAGGGUGAGAAUCCCGUCCGGUUGAUCAGAUUCGCUUUACGAUACGCUUUCUAAGAGUCAAGUUGUUUGGGAUUGCAGCUUAAAAUGGGAGGUAAAUUUCUCCUAAGGCUAGAUAACGGCGAGAGACCGAUAGCGAACAAGUACCGUGAGGGAAAGAUGAAAAGAACUUUGAAAAGAGAGUUAAAUAGUACGUGAAAUUGUUGAAAGGGAAACGAUUGAAGCCAGUCGUACCUAUGGGUAAUCAGCCUUUUGGGUGUGAUUUUGUGGAGCGUGAGGAGUUAAACGCCUUCAUGCCUGCAUAUUCGUGCACUUUGGGUGUACUUGCCCGUAUGGUUGGUUAACAUCAAUUUUGGUGGUCAUAAAAUGACUGGAGGAAUGUAGCUUCGAUCUUGUAUUGAAGUGUUAUAGCCUUCGGUAGAUGUGACGAUCGAGAUUGAGGAUUGCAACGGAUACCCUUCGGGGCUACCUGUCUGAUCUCUGAUCGUUGCUCUGGUGCCGAAAGCUUGCUUACGGUUAUCAAAGUCGAUGGUCAAUAGGUUAGAACGGGUUAAAUUCGUUAAGGAUGUUGACGUA